GAACAAGCCCUAUUGAUGUUGAAUGGAACCCAGUUAGCAGGACAAAAUAUUCGGCUUUCAUGGGGGCGAAGUCCUUCAAACAAACAGGCACAGCCAGAUCAAAGCCAGUGGAAUGGAGGAUAUUAUGGAUAUGCGCAAGGAUAUGAUGCAUAUGGAUAUGCUCCUUCUCAAGAUCCUAACAUGUAUUAUGGUGCCUAUCCUGGAUAUGGAAAUUACCAGCAAC
RNAcentral lists this unclassified non-coding RNA (223 nucleotides) under Hevea brasiliensis (rubber tree). The record is from RNAcentral. Lineage: Eukaryota; Viridiplantae; Streptophyta; Magnoliopsida; Malpighiales; Euphorbiaceae.